Molecule: long non-coding RNA, 847 nt
Filed under: Oncorhynchus mykiss (rainbow trout)
Lineage: Eukaryota; Metazoa; Chordata; Actinopteri; Salmoniformes; Salmonidae
Description: lncRNA (ENSOMYG00000067277.1)
Source: RNAcentral
AUGAAGAAAAAAAACUGUAUUGAAAUACACCUCAUUCAUGUCCCUGUAAAACUCAUCAUCCUCAUUCAUGUCCCUGUAAAACUAAUCUUCAUUCAUGUCCCUGUAAAACUCAUCAUCCUCAUUCAUGUCCCUGUAAAACUAAUCUUCAUUCAUGUCCCUGUAAAACUAAUCUUCAUUCAUGUCCCUGUAAAACUCAUCAUCUUCAUUCAUGUCCCUGUAAAACUCAUCAUCUUCAUUCAUGUCCCUGUAAAACUCAUCAUCUUCAUUCAUGUCCCUGUAAAACUCAUCAUCCUCAUUCAUGUCCCUGUAAAACUAAUCUUCAUUCAUGUCCCUGUAAAAUGCAUCAUCCACAGUAGUUGGAACUAGUAGAAGACGCUUCCACUGGGAGGUUGAGAUGUUGCAGCUUUGCUGUGAGUUGGUUUGCAGUGGGUAGACCAUGGGGGAGGAUUGGUGGAGAAGGGGGAAGUCAAUCUCUUUCCCCAGGUUAGUCUCUGGCGAUGGCAGGGUGGAGGUUGGAGGAUUUGGGGGUGGCAUUUCUGGGUGAUGACAAAGGCUUUGCCAGGUGGACUCAGAGGGGCAUGGCAUGACAUGGCAGGUGGGGUGUGAGGACCCCUGGGAUACACUGAUGGUGCUCUGCAAUAGGGGGGAGGAGUGUAUUGCGAGUGAUGAUGUAAUAUCUAAUCAUAAUGAAACCAAACCGGAUAUCAGGAUACAUCUAUCGAACAGAAUUUAAAAAAAAUAGUAUAACAAUAAAUUACAUUACCAGUUGGUUAUUAUGUUAUCAAUUGAGGGAUUUAACAGUGAUGUCAAUAUGAUGACAUUAUCGAUAACAAAAAUUGUUACACAG